RNAcentral lists this ribosomal RNA (253 nucleotides) under uncultured prokaryote. Its description in RNAcentral is "partial 16S ribosomal RNA". It matches the Rfam family "Bacterial small subunit ribosomal RNA", at positions 524 to 776 of the family's 1533-position model. The record is from RNAcentral.
UACGUAGGAUGCAAGCGUUGUCCGGAUUUACUGGGCGUAAAGCGCGCGCAGGCGGCAUGGUAAGUAAGGUGUGAAAUCCAUCUGCUCAACGGGUGGGGUGCAUUUUAGACUGCCAAGCUUGAGGUCGGUAGAGGGGGGUGGAAUUGCUGGUGUAGCGGUGAAAUGCGUAGAGAUCAGCAGGAACACCCGUGGCGAAGGCGGCCCCCUGGGCCGUACCUGACGCUGAGGCGCGAAGGCUAGGGGAGCGAACGGG